UUGGGAAUCUUGCACAAUGGGGGAAACCCUGAUGCAGCGACGCCGCGUGGAGGACGAAGGGUCUAGGCUCGUAAACUCCUUUUUUCGGGAAAGACUUAGGACGGUACCCGAAGAAUAAGCACCGGCUAACUACGUGCCAGCAGCCGCGGUAAGACGUAGGGUGCAAGCGUUGUCCGGAUUUACUGGGCGUAAAGAGCGCGUAGGCGGCUCGUUAAGUGUGAAGCUAAAUCUCCAGGCUCAACCUGGAAACUAUUUCGCAUACUGGCGGGCUGGAGUGAUGCAGAGGUGGAUAGAAUUCCCGGUGUAGCGGUGAAAUGCGUUGAUAUCGGGAGGAAUACCCGUGGCGAAGGCGGUCCACUGGGCAUCAACUGACGCUGAGGCGCGAAAGCGUGGGUAGCAAACAGGAUUAGAUACCCCCGUAGUCC
This 425-nucleotide ribosomal RNA is filed under the name uncultured bacterium. RNAcentral describes it as "bacterial SSU rRNA". It matches the Rfam family "Bacterial small subunit ribosomal RNA", at positions 355 to 796 of the family's 1533-position model. The record is from RNAcentral.